This 202-nucleotide ribosomal RNA is filed under the name Staphylococcus aureus. Its description in RNAcentral is "partial 16S ribosomal RNA". It matches the Rfam family "Bacterial small subunit ribosomal RNA", at positions 1 to 197 of the family's 1533-position model. The record is from RNAcentral. Lineage: Bacteria; Bacillati; Bacillota; Bacilli; Caryophanales; Staphylococcaceae.
UUUAUGGAGAGUUUGAUCCUGGCUCAGGAUGAACGCUGGCGGCGUGCCUAAUACAUGCAAGUCGAGCGAACGGAUGAGAAGCUUGCUUCUCUGAUGUUAGCGGCGGACGGGUGAGUAACACGUGGAUAACCUACCUAUAAGACUGGGAUAACUUCGGGAAACCGGAGCUAAUACCGGAUAAUAUUUUGAGCCGCAUGGUUCA